Molecule: small nuclear RNA, 107 nt
Organism: Ailuropoda melanoleuca (giant panda)
Lineage: Eukaryota; Metazoa; Chordata; Mammalia; Carnivora; Ursidae
Source: Ensembl
GUACUUGCUUUGGCAGCACAUAUACUAAAAUUGGAAUGAUAAAGAGAAGAUUAGCAUGGCCCCUGCAUAAGGAUGACCUGCAAAUUUUUGAAGCAUUCCAUAAAACA